CGACACCACCGUCACCAUUUCGUUUUCAUUACUGGACUUUCUUUACGUAAACACUGAUUGUGGAGUUUAAUGACUUGUGUUUUAUUAACCGGAUCAGGACUCAUCUUACAGUGUCUUCAUCCAUAAAUGACUGUGUUCUCUUGGAUUUCACAGCCAUUAGUGGGGCAGAGAGAGCAUUUGGGAGUCACACACGGGCAGAAGAUGAGUGGUAAACAGACGAUUGGAGCAUGGUCCGCCUCUGAGUGCUCUACAGUAUGAACAGCACCACACAGCCCCCUCACAUUAUCAAUGGAGAUGUGGCCGUUAGCUAUGUGCUUGUCCCGCUCUUCCUCAUCAUUGUGAUCGGGAUUGUCACUGCAGUGGUGACGUACAUAAGAAGGAAACAAAGGAUUGAUAGACUUCGGCAUCAGUUGCUACCGGUCUACACAUAUGACCCAACUGAAGAGCUGAACGAGGCAGAACAGGAAAUUCUUUGGAAAGAGGAAGACACAAAGGUGGUAAAGGGUUGGAUGAGGACAUAUCAGCAGCGGCGAACCCUUGACCCGCUGUCAAAGGAUCCUGACGCAUGAAAAUGAAGUUUUGCAGAUAAGGUGGUUUCUCACGCUGCAAGAGUUUCUCACUAAAAACCCCACCUCCACCCCAGCUUCACAUGUCUAGAUAUGCUACAUGGGGAGUCAAAGUCCCUUAUAAAAUGGUUUAGAUUUAGAAGAUGGAGAAUUUUGAGCAAUUAUCUACUAAUUUACAUUUGGCCAUUUGAAGCGAUGAGUCUCAAACAUCUUUUCAGCCCCUCUGUGUCAUGAGAAGUCUACAGGACGCUGGUGACUCCUCACACAGCGUUGGAUGAUUUCACCUCAGGUUACUUCCUGCAAAUAUGGUCCAAUAUAGUGCCACAAUUUCACCUCUGAAGAGCAGCAAAUUUGUUGUUUGAACAACUCUCGGUUUACUAAGACUCAAGAAAGACGUUCACUGUUAUGUUUCGUUAUUUAUUCUAGUUUUAUGAAUUAUUCUGAUGUUCUGUGCUUUUAAAUCCCUGUCCGAGCCAUUUCAUAUUAGCCAUAUUGAUUAUGCAUGAAUGUAAUGUGUUCUGGAGUGUAAACCAAAACCAUGCUGGUUUACAGUGGCUAGCUGAUCCUUUAAACCAGUUGUUUUCAACUAGUUUAGCUGUAAGUCCCAAAUAUUAGAGUGCCAAAUUUCACUAGCUUCAAUGUCCAAAUGAUGUGAUUUUAAAAUACUGAGCAGUUUUAUUUGAUGCACUGCUUUACAAGUCAUCAAAGAUAUGGAAAGCAUUUCCUUCUCCCUUUUUAAAUGUUACUGAUAAGCCUAUUUAUUUUUCUAUUCUUACACUACGUGUCCACUGGUGUGAAAGAAUUUCACUCAAUACCACCCGAAAUGCUAGAGGUCAGUCGCCGGGGAUGUGUGUUGGUAAAAUGUACAGUUGUGUGGGUAUGUUUAGUCAGUACUUUCCAUGUACAUUAAAAGUUUGAUUUCGUCAGACUAAAAUAAUAAUUUGAAAAUGCGAUUGUAGCGACUUGAAAGCUCGUGUGGAAAUCCUCAACAAAGUUAAUGAUAAGCAUUCACUUUUAAGCAUAAAAGAGCAUUACAUGAUAAUAAAACUUGUUUACUACACGUUUGCAGAGAUGGGUGUGUUAUAUACUAGGGAUGUCCCGAUAUCAUUUUUUUUGAGAACCAAUACCUUUCUGAUAUUUUCCGAUACAGUUUUUUCGAUUAUUUCAAUUUUAUCAUCAAAAUGGUGUUUAAAUGAGUUAAUUUAUUUAAACUUUAAUCAAAUUAAAAUCUUAAUUUUCAACAUAAUGUUGUAUUAUUUUUUAUCAAAUAAAGUGCUUAUAUACAGAACCUCACAGCACAAUCCAAAUUACAGCAUCGAGUUCUACUUUGUCAAAUAAUGUGCUGCAUAUCAGAGCAUUGCAAAUGUAAUAUAUUGCUUAAAUAUAAUACAAUUACCAUUGAUUUAUUAUUAUUAGUAGUAGAAAUACAGUGAAUAUUACAUAACUUUACAAUAGUGAUAUAUUUCUUUAAAAAACAAAUUGUAUUUAAAUUGAGCUUUUAUUUUGAAGUGUUUUUGUGUGAUAAUGUUUUCUUUUCAGUCCAGAAAAGCUGGUUGCUACAUGACUCAAAGUGAUUAUUAAACUGCAAAAGCCUGCUACUUAAUUAAAUAAGUAUGUACUCUGUAUGUGCCUCCUGCUACAAAGUGAAUUUGCGCUCUGUUCACUGUCAUCACAGAGCGCUUGAUGCUCAUGAUGGUAUUUUCCCAGUAUGAGCCAAGAAGAAGCUUUAAAAUGUACGUGCGGUGCAGCUGGCGUCGGCACAACACAUUCACUAGUGCUCUGCUCACAUUUGAAGCACGCUGCACAUACAAAGUAAACUAUACAUUUAUUUCAUUAAAUUGCAACUUUUGCAGAUAAUAAUCUCACUAGGACAUAACUUGAUUAGAAUUUGCACGCUGAUUGUUUGACAUUCGUACGUCAGAUUGUAUUGGUUUUUGGUAUCAGAGCAUUUUUACGAGCAAAGAGUACAUGAGUGUAUUGUUGGACCCUAUUCAGAUACUAGUAGCAGAUACUAGCGGGACAUCCCUAUAAAAUACGGAAAUGAUCAUCUCUUUUGAUAAUCAUACACAUGUAGAACAAAUGUAGCAUUGCUUAUCAUAGUUUUUUCUCUGCAAUUUGGUUGCUGGGAGAUGAUUCCGCUGACAGAGCUAACACCUGCUAAGCUAAUGGAAGCAUUGCAGUCAUGUUUCCCUAUUUGUCGUCUUGGGCAAUGGAAUGCUUGUUUGGAAAUCGGAAAUAUCAUGUAAGAAUAUAACACAUCCGACUUUGAAUGGAACGCGGCAUAAGAUUGUUUCAGUACAGUCACUAAAAUCAUCACAUAUGCAUGUUUGCAGUGGAAAAAAAUACUUUGUCUCCGAGUGUCCAACGUAUAAAUAUUAAAUUUAUAUUAACCAAUGUAACUUUGGUUAACUAGUCUAAAUAGUCUAUACCAUGUGAGAGCAUGCUAACUGCAUUUGACACAAAAAUCCAAGUUAAGAAUGUAAUUUAUGCGAAAAAUCGGAAUACCUCAAAACCAAUUUGCGAAUAAAGCAGCAUUUCCAUCCCAUUUGGUCAAGUCACAGCCACUGUGGCUAGUUUAUAUGAAAUAAUUGUGGUUUAGAGCGUGCAGACAAAAUCCACUGACGAACUUCAUGUUUGCUAGCGUUCAACGGCCAAUGUCUUAUAUCUUGAGCGAAAUCGCGCCACGCAGUUCUGGUAAGUAAUAGUAGCCAAUAAUUUUGAUGACAGGCUUUUAUUAUGUUAGCCUGCUGGCUAGUUUAGUUCUGAGUGAAUUAUUCAGUCACAUGACUUGAGGCUAUUGUGACUUUUUUGAUGAGAAUCUUUGAAUUUAUGUGUUAAAUGUGUUUCCAGUUUAUGCGCAUGUCUUCUUUUUGAAAAAAUAAAAUGUAUCCACCAGCAAACGUAUAUGUGUUUUAUGCGCAUUUUUGGAUCUUGGUGUUUCCAAUCAGCAUUUUUCUGUUAUAUCCCAACAUUUGCAUGAAAAUACAUGGAUUGAAAAGCAGAAAAUGGGAUUUAAGAACUGAAUACAGCAAGAACUCAAGCAGUAUCAUCCAAUUUUUUUAACUCUUUUGACCGACGUCGCUGCCUUUUCUACACAGGCGUUUUUCGCUUGUCAUUUGCAUGAAGUUAAGCAUUUCUCAACUUUUGACGCCAUUCGUCCCUCUCUGCUUGCAAUCCCUCACGCGAGCGUGUCGCUCAGCUCCCAUUGAGAAUGAAUUUAAAAUGCCUGCUCACGCCGCACCAGUGGACACAUACUGUAACUAUUUAAGUUUUUAUGGUUAAUUUCAUUUUAUUAUUUGCAUUUAGCAUUGCGACCCUAAACGACCUGCAACCCAUUUUUUUGCCACGACUUAUGACCCACCAGUUGAGAACCACUCUUUUAAACUCACAGCUCUCUGAAAAUUUUACUUUUGCCUGCAUGAAUGCCUGCAUGUGAUUGAGAUUUUUACCACAAUGGGAUAGUACAAAAUGACUGGGCAAUAUUUAUUUUCAGUUUUUUGUUUAUUUGGACAAAAUGCAAUGUGUUUAGUGACCUGUUUUACAGUCGCUAGAGUGCACUUGCUGUUAAAGAUGUGUUACUGAGUGAAGAUAGUGGUUGGAUUGUUUAGAUUAUUCGAACAUACUGAAGAUACGUUCCACAUUUAGAAACCUCCUGCCCAUCAUGUGCAAAUGUGUUCCACACCUGGUGGUAGGAGGUCAAAACAAAGCGAAGCCAAUGAACUCUACUUGGCCAAAAGUAUAUGGUAACCCCUUCUCAUUAACAUGUUUGGCUAUUUUUAGCUACACGCUACUAACAGGUACAUACAAUGAGGUAUACAGCCAAGCAAAAAGUAGAAUGAGGAGUACUGAACAGUUCAGUGACUUUUAACAUGGCACUGUCAUAGGAUGCCAUCAGUUAAAUUAGUCUGAUGUGGAAGAACUUGACUAGCCUGCACAAAGUCCAAACCUGAACCCUAUUGAACACCUUUGAAACAGUGACUGUGAGUCAGAUCCCAUCACCCAAAAUCAGUGUCUGAGUGUCUGACCUCACUGAUGCUCUUGUGUCUGAAUGGGAGCAAAUCAUUAAGAAGAGUGGAACUUUACAGUAAGGAACUUACAAUGGGAGUGAAUGGGGCCAGUCCAUAAACUUUAAAAUAGUAAAAUGUUUAAUACAUAAACAUUUAACGUAUUAACAUGAUUGUGUGGGAUAGAAUAUACUUCUGUUACAUGUACCUGCUUACAGGGUUUACCAGUGUUGCUUCGUCAAUAUUGGAUACAACUUUACCAGACUGAUGGUGCAUUCAAGUCAUGUUGGAAAGAUCCUAUUUACGAGCGCACAUAAACGUUUGCAACAAAACUACAUUUUCCAUCAUUAAAUGUGGUCGCACAAGAAUGAUAAAAUAGGUAGAUAAAGCAUCAAUUGCACACCUAAUGCGUGACUUUCCAUUUAUUUUGUUGCAUUGGUGCUUAAAAAGCUUUCUGCCUACACUAUGUGAAAAAGUAACUUAAGUCCUGUUGAAAUGAGCUUGCAUCAACCAGUUAGAAAUCUGUAACGGGGUGUUUUAUUGUUUCUUAAUGAUCACAGAAGUAUUGUGGUUCUUGUAUUCCAAAAAAACAAUUAUUUUUACAAUUGUGAAUGUGCCAGUGGUACAUGUAAGGAUGGAUGUUUAUAUUCAGGAGUUUCUAAAGGAAGUUGGAGUUGGUUCACUGUAUGGAAAGAAGAGUUGAAGUCGAUAAAUUGGUUGCAGGCAGGUGUAAAACGAGUCCGGAUUUUGUAAUGCUGUACCAGGUUUAACCCAUUUGAACUUGGACUUGUUAGGCAAACUAUAUGGGUCCAUCUGCAGGACAGGUGAAACUUCUGUCAAAUAUCUCAAAGCUGAAACGUUUUCAUGUCCACAGUUGUGAGAUCCUCUAGUUCAAGUGUCAGCUAAAAAAAAAAAAUGGUGACACACAGUUUGCAUAUUUUAAGCUACCACCCAUGUAAUGAUAACAUUUUUAUUUUUACAAGCCUAUUUGUGUAUUUUAUGUUGAAUCUCUAUUAUUAAAGUUGUCGCUUUAUUAAAUCAUCUAUUUUAUUGAGUUAGUCUAAAGGGACAGUUCACAGAAUCUAUUCAUUUUUAUUGCAAGUUGGCGAUUUGAGGAGACUUGAGGGAUAGCGACCAUUAGGCAAUGUGACAAAGUGGAGUAGAUGAGUGCAGACAGUGAUCUGCUGCCUAACAAUAAUCUAUUGACGACCAACAGAACACACUUGGCGGCGCUUCGUGAGCUCUUGCAAUUGCAUCGAUGUAAGGGGGCAUUAUAGACCUUAUUCACAGGAGUGUCAUUUAUCAUUUUUACUCAGAUUAUUGUAAAGUCAAAAUGUACAGUAAUCUGCUUUAAGGUUCUCUCUUUCUUUCUCUUACUGUAAGACCUGUACAAUUUUAACUUCAAGCGUUUAAAACUGCUUUAAACUUUUAGACAAGGUUUGUUAAACAAACAUUAUAGUUUGUCUCUACAAACUAUACAUUUCUAGGUCAGUACUUUUAAAAAGCUUAACCCUAUAAAGCCUAUAUGAAAUAAUAGUCAGAAAAUUCAUUUUUAGAGUGGUUCCAAAAAUAUUCAGUUAGAAUUAUUAAGGCAAAAGGGUCCUAUUAUCUGGCUGGGGCCCUCAUAGUCACAGACAGGGUUGGGAGGGUUACUUUUGAAAUGUAUUCCACUACAGAUUACAGAAUACAUGCUGUAAAAAUGUAAUUUGUAAUGUAUUCUGUUCGAUUACUGAAGGUCAGUAAUGUAUUCUAAAUACUUUGGAUUACUUCUUCAGAACUGGUGGAUUUUUUUCAAUUGUUUUUUCUAUAAAAUUCUGUCCAUACAG
RNA transcript from Xyrauchen texanus (razorback sucker), 6396 nucleotides. It is a transcript of the gene named small integral membrane protein 29-like, with no coding region annotated. NCBI's taxonomy places the organism in Eukaryota, Metazoa, Chordata, Actinopteri, Cypriniformes, Catostomidae. The record is from RefSeq and is a predicted model, not a curated record. The transcript is spliced from 7 exons.